RNAcentral lists this ribosomal RNA (452 nucleotides) under uncultured bacterium. RNAcentral describes it as "bacterial SSU rRNA". It matches the Rfam family "Bacterial small subunit ribosomal RNA", at positions 340 to 786 of the family's 1533-position model. The record is from RNAcentral.
UACGGGAGGCAGCAGUGGGGAAUAUUGCACAAUGGGCGCAAGCCUGAUGCAGCCAUGCCGCGUGUAUGAAGAAGGCCUUCGGGUUGUAAAGUACUUUCAGUCGUGAGGAAGGUGUUAAGGUUAAUAACCUUAGCAAUUGACGUUAGCGACAGAAGAAGCACCGGCUAACUCCGUGCCAGCAGCCGCGGUAAUACGGAGGGUGCGAGCGUUAAUCGGAAUUACUGGGCGUAAAGGGCACGCAGGCGGUUAAUUAAGUUGGAUGUGAAUCCCCGGGCUUAACCUGGGAAUGGCAUUCAAGACUGGUUAGCUAGAGUCUUGUAGAGGGGGUAGAAUUCCAUGUGUAGCGGUGAAAUGCGUAGAGAUGUGGAGGAAUACCGGUGGCGAAGGCGGCCCCUGGGACAAGACUGACGCUCAUGUGCGAAAGCGUGGGGAGCAAACGAGGAUUAGAUACC